AAGGAAUCUGGCAACUUUCUUUAAGGGUUACUUCAAGCAAGUAUCACUUGGAAAUUUCUUUUCAGAUGAUUUCCAGGAUUUUUUUUCCAUCCUCUAAUUUUAAUUCACAGUGAUAUACUGGUUCUUUAUGAUCAGUCUUGUAAGCUAUUUGAUCCUAAGCAAGCCCCAGUUAACCUUCACCAUGUUUGCUGACACAAUCACAUCAUCAAUUCCUCAAGCCUGACAUUUUAUUUCUUGUAAUUUGCAACUGAAGUAAUGCUCGGUAAGUACUCAGCCCAGAACAAACUUUGCAAACAACAACACAACUAAUAGUAUGUUUUGUCUUUCAGUGCCAUCAAUAAUGGCAAUCACAAUAGUCAGGGCUCGAUAAUUCCCUCUAAUGGAAGUGUGUGCCAAGGUCGGUGGAGACUGCAGUUGUGAUAAGAGCAUUUGAGCCAUUAAAGAAAAAGCCAGCAACGAUUUGUUCGAGCCUGCGAGACACUCCCAAUAAAGUGGUGUAGUAGAAUUGAAGGAAUUGCAAAAAACAUAAAAUCUUUUUCUGUAUUUCAAAUCAUUUUACUUAUGAACUAGUAUAAUGCUUGAUUAAUAGCAAGAAUCCACUGCUGCUAUUGCUGCUGCUUGCAAUCUCUAGUUACUCAGAAUCCAAAAUACACCAAGUGACAAAAUCUUGAACUUAUUUUUUAUCUGCUUGAAAUAUAAUCAUUCAUUCUUGUGCUGGGAAUACCAGAAAUUCGUUUAUCUUUAAGAAUUAUCUCAUGUAAUUACUAAUAAGAAAUAGUAAAA
Molecule: long non-coding RNA, 783 nt
Filed under: Populus trichocarpa (black cottonwood)
Lineage: Eukaryota; Viridiplantae; Streptophyta; Magnoliopsida; Malpighiales; Salicaceae
Description: long non-coding RNA (PTRI_LNC000921)
Source: RNAcentral